CUCAGUCAUUUUGAAAUUCAAACUAAGUUACAGUAACACAUUGCGUAGGCUGAGGAUGACUAUCAUGACACCUUCGAAGCAACACAGGAUUUAACAAGAACAUACUGACUUCUAUUUCACUAUUCCACCAAACAGAAAGUAAUGCUCUAGACUAUUACACUCUCAUGAAAAAAACGUUCCACAGCAAUAUUAUCUAACUGCGGAAACAUGUUUAACCC
RNAcentral lists this long non-coding RNA (218 nucleotides) under Mytilus galloprovincialis (Mediterranean mussel). Lineage: Eukaryota; Metazoa; Mollusca; Bivalvia; Mytilida; Mytilidae. The record is from RNAcentral.